AAGCAAUUAACUCAAAGGUAGAGUAUUUCAUUUACACUGAAGAAGUUAAAGGUUCGAAUCCUUUAUUGCUUA
This 72-nucleotide transfer RNA is filed under the name Sporolithon durum. RNAcentral's name for it is "tRNA-Val". It matches the Rfam family "tRNA". From Rfam's summary of the family: Transfer RNA (tRNA) molecules are approximately 80 nucleotides in length. Their secondary structure includes four short double-helical elements and three loops (D, anti-codon, and T loops). Lineage: Eukaryota; Rhodophyta; Florideophyceae; Sporolithales; Sporolithaceae. The record is from RNAcentral.